Molecule: non-coding RNA, 432 nt
Organism: Terrapene triunguis (Three-toed box turtle)
Lineage: Eukaryota; Metazoa; Chordata; Testudines; Emydidae
Source: the annotation of a RefSeq genome assembly
AUGUACAUACUAAUGUAUAUUCUGUUUGCUAACUCAGACACCAAUGCGCAGAUUGUGCUGACUCAGACUCCAGAAUCCCUGGCAGCGUCUCCUGGAGACACAGUCACUAUCCGCUGCAAAGCCAGUUCAAGCCUCACUAGUGGUAGCUAUCAAGUACUAGCCUGGUACCAACAGAAAUCAGGACAAGCUCCUAAAAUGCUUAUCUAUGAUGCUACCUCCCGGCCAUCUGGGGUUCCAACCCGGUUCAGCGGCAGUGGCUCUGGCACUGACUACACUCUCACAAUCAGCAGAGUUGAAACUGAAGAUGCUGGAGAUUAUUACUGUCAACAAGGCAAGAGCUUGCCUCUCACAGUGAUACGGACCAAUACAAAAACCUCCCCAUCCUGUUCCUUUCAGUGGACAGCUGCUUCCUAUGCCUACGUGCUACACUAG